GGUUAAAAAGCUCGUAGUUGGAUUUUGGUUAAGAGGGCGCGGUCGGCCGUUUGGUCUGUACUGCGUUGUCUUGACUUCCUGAUGAGGACAUGCCCUUGGUUAACGCUGAGACAUGGAGUCAUCGUGGUUACUUUGAAAAAAUUAGAGUGUUCAAAGCGGGCUUACGCUUGAAUAUAUUAGCAUGGAAUAACACUAUAGGACUCCUGUCCUAUCUCGUUGGUCUCGGGAUGGGAGUAAUGAUUAAGAGGAACAGUUGGGGGCAUUCGUAUUUCAUUGUCAGAGGUGAAAUUCUUGGAUUUAUGAAAGACGAACUUCUGCGAAAGCAUUUGCCAAGGAUGUUUUCAUUAAUCAAGAACGAAAGUUGGGGGCUCGAAGAUGAUUAGAUACCAUCCUAGUCUCAACCAUAAACGAUGCCGACUAGGGAUUGGUGGAUGUUAAUUGAUGACUUCACCAGCACCUUAUGAGAAAUCAAAGUUUUUGGGUUCCGGGGGGAGUAUGGUCGCAAGGCUGAAACUUAAAGGAAUUGACGGAAGGGCACCACCAGGCGUGGAGCCUGCGGCUUAAUUUGACUCAACACGGGGAAACUUACCAGGUCCAGACAUAAGUAUGAUUGACAGAUUGAGAGCUCUU
Molecule: ribosomal RNA, 630 nt
Filed under: uncultured marine eukaryote
Lineage: Eukaryota
Description: SSU rRNA
Rfam family: Eukaryotic small subunit ribosomal RNA
Source: RNAcentral